UACGGGAGGCAGCAGUGGGGAAUAUUGCACAAUGGGCGCAAGCCUGAUGCAGCCAUGCCGCGUGUAUGAAGAAGGCCUUCGGGUUGUAAAGUACUUUCAGUCGUGAGGAAGGUGUUAAGGUUAAUAACCUUAGCAAUUGACGUUAGCGACAGAAGAAGCACCGGCUAACUCCGUGCCAGCAGCCGCGGUAAUACGGAGGGUGCGAGCGUUAAUCGGAAUUACUGGGCGUAAAGGGCACGCAGGCGGUUAAUUAAGUUGGAUGUGAAAUCCCCGGGCUUAACCUGGGAAUGGCAUUCAAGACUGGUUAGCUAGAGUCUUGUAGAGGGGGUAGAAUUCCAUGUGUAGCGGUGAAAUGCGUAGAGAUGUGGAGGAAUACCGGUGGCGAAGGCGGCCCCUGGACAAAGACUGACGCUCAUGUGCGAAAGCGUGGGGAGCGAAACAGGGAUUAGAUA
RNAcentral lists this ribosomal RNA (452 nucleotides) under uncultured bacterium. RNAcentral describes it as "bacterial SSU rRNA". It matches the Rfam family "Bacterial small subunit ribosomal RNA", at positions 340 to 784 of the family's 1533-position model. The record is from RNAcentral.